UGCCAUUGCAGUGAUUUACACCGGACCGCUCGGGUGUCAGCGCUGCUCGUGCACGUCCGCGUCAGUGCGCGCGCUCGCAGCAACAUAGAUUCAGGGCUGUGUUUCGCCUCAAGUCUAAGGAUGAGUCUAUAAAUGGACCUGCUAGAAAAAAUCCCUCCCAUCCCUCCUCUCUAAAGGAAAGCGAGCUCAAGGCUUCUCUUCAUUCUCGCAAGGAAAAGAAACGUUUCACAUCAGAACAUGUUGUUGACGCUUGUGUGACUUUAUGCCCUUUGUCAGUGGUCAGUUGGACACGGCAACCACACUAGACUAAACACACUGCCAGAUACAUCAGCUACUUGAAGGAGCCGCCGCCUCCAGACAUUCUGUCUAAAGUUAAUAAAGCAGAAGAGGAAAGUAUGAGGAAAAAUGUACAGAAACCACAGAAAAAAUGGUGACAAAAUCAGUUUUUCCUACAGAGGAACAUUGCGGCUAAAGAGGACCACCUCACAGAGAGCCAGCUGCUACAAUCAUGUCUCAAGAAGAUACACUCAUCAGAAGAACUCUUAACAAGUAUAUCAGCCAUCUCUCACAAUAACCAACCCGCCGACGAUGGAGCCGAUGCUUCCUCCAGCUGAUGGCCUGACCAGGGUGCAUGCCCUGCCGAUACCGCUGGACAAAUCAUCUCUUCCCCGGGGACAAAUGCUGCCAAUGUGCCAGGAUCAAUUUCUCUCUGCCUCGUUUCGGGCUGUGGAAAAUAACUGGAUGAAGCCAACCUCUACAUCCAUGAACGCAACUUUAUGUGCCUUUACAUCAGCAAUGACCAGUCACACUUUUUUACCAUAGGUGGGACUAGACCCAGCCUUUAGUCAUGUGUUAUUGGAUGCCCCUCCUGGCCUGGUGGACCCUGUUGCUCUCCAAUCAGUGAACUUUGGCCAAGCCCACAGACCUGAACAGAGUGCUGUAACAAAUUCAAUUAUACCUCCAGUAGAACAAAGUCAGAUUGAUGCACCUUUGGUUGGCCCAACUGACAAUGUUUCAGUGGUAGAUUUUUACAAAUCAACCAAUAAUUUCAUCGUCCUUUUAUCAAGGUGCAACUACAAGUACUGAUGACCUCACACCUGAAAAUGUUAAUCAGCCAGUGUCAGACGCUCUGUGUGACUCAUGACUCCUCCAGGAGAGUGACCUCUAUAGUAGUAGCCCUCUGACAAACAGACCACAGGACGUGGUCAGUACCUUUUGGCUGGAUUUGCUGUUAGAUACCAACAGCAACUUGUGCUUCCCUGAUGCUAAUCUUGUAAACAUUGUUAUUUCACCUUACGCAGGGAUAACCUAACUAUUUGUUAAGAAAUGCCGCUAAUUAUUUGCUAGAUAUCUACUUUAUUUUUACAGUUGCGAUUAGCCAAUCAUCACAAAGCAUAUCAGAGAAACAGAUCUACUGGUAUUGUUUGAAGAGAUCUGUUAUGGCUUUGUGGUUGCCUACAAUGCAUAUGUCAAAGCUCUACAGGAAGUUGGUAGUUAUUUUUUGACAGCAUUUCUGUCACAUGUUGUUGAGCUAGAAUUACAUUGAUGUGAUUUGCUUGAGGGCAGUGUACAUACAGUAGGUUGGCAUGCAGUACAUGUCUAUAUGCUGUAGUUAUAGUGUAAAAUAUUGUAGGACAUUGAAAUGUCUUCUUUGUUAGUCAACAACUGAGUUAUGUGUGCAGCACAGCACACAUAACACUCAAUAAAUGUAUUGCUGUGUUUGAUCAAAAGUGCUUGCAGUUUUUUAUUUUUGUUGUCAAAAACUUACAGGUGGCAUUUCCAUUCAUAUUAAAUACAUCUCUAGUUCUUUUAACAAAGAAUUAUAGUAGGUUUGUCUCUUUAAUUUCUCAGGUAAAUAAGCAGAACAGUCACAUUCUAUUGUAUUUUCCAUGAGUCUAUUUUAAAAAUAGC
Molecule: long non-coding RNA, 1911 nt
Organism: Thunnus maccoyii (southern bluefin tuna)
Lineage: Eukaryota; Metazoa; Chordata; Actinopteri; Scombriformes; Scombridae
Exons: 6
Source: RefSeq, a predicted model, not a curated record